RNAcentral lists this transfer RNA (72 nucleotides) under Camelus bactrianus (Bactrian camel). It matches the Rfam family "tRNA". Rfam says of the family: Transfer RNA (tRNA) molecules are approximately 80 nucleotides in length. Lineage: Eukaryota; Metazoa; Chordata; Mammalia; Artiodactyla; Camelidae. RNAcentral also lists the same sequence under 2 other names. The record is from Rfam by way of RNAcentral.
GAGGGUAUAGCUCAGUGGUAGAGUACAUGCUUAGCAUGCAGGAGGUCCUGGGUUCAAUCCCCAGUACCUCUG